Molecule: ribosomal RNA, 253 nt
Filed under: uncultured bacterium
Lineage: Bacteria
Description: partial 16S ribosomal RNA
Rfam family: Bacterial small subunit ribosomal RNA
Source: RNAcentral
UACGGAGGGUGCAAGCGUUGCUCGGAAUCACUGGGCGUAAAGGGCGCGUAGGCGGCUCGGCACGUCCGUUGUGAAAUCGCUCGGCUCAACUGGGCGAGGUCAGCGGAUACGGUCGAGCUUGAGCCAGCUAGGGGGCAAUGGAAUUCCCGGUGUAGUGGUGGAAUGCGUAGAUAUCGGGAGGAACACCAGUGGCGAAGGCGGUUGCCUGGGGCUGAGCUGACGCUGAUGCGCGAAAGCGUGGGGAGCAAACAGG